AUCAAAACUGAAUAAUGAGGUCCUAUAUCGAUGAUCCAAAUUGUUGGAUGUGAUUUACUAUCUCAAAAUUACCUACACACCAAAAAUCAUAUGAUUUGAAGAUCCCUAACCUAUUCAUUAAGUGAUUAAAAAAUAUAUCUAAUUCAAUUUUAUUUAGUUUAUCUAAUUUUUGACUACUUCAUGCAUAAACUGCAGAUUUUCAAAUCAUAUAAUUUUUUUAUAUACAAGUAGUUUCAGUAUAGUAGAUUAUAUUCAAUGGGGAUUGAAUGUAAAAUGGUGAUUAAUCCAAAGGGUAA
Molecule: long non-coding RNA, 296 nt
Filed under: Elaeis guineensis (African oil palm)
Lineage: Eukaryota; Viridiplantae; Streptophyta; Magnoliopsida; Arecales; Arecaceae
Description: long non-coding RNA (EGUI_LNC033599)
Source: RNAcentral